ACAGGCGUUGGAGAUAAAAGUCUGCUCCCUUUGAACUCCAGCAUGCAGAGUAAGGGGAGGACAAUAGACUACAAGUGCUCUUGGUGCUUUCGUCGUCCACUGGAGAAAAAGCAAGCAGACACUAUUAUAAGGACAGACCUAUUGUGGUGCUUGGUGUCUUCUUCAGAGGACUUCUCCAGAAGGAGCAUGCAGUGACCCGAGAGUCUGAGAACUUCCUCCUUCCCAUCAGAUUAGGGAAGCCCUGGGAGGAUGUCUUGUGUGUGGUACCUGUUUGCAUUUGCCUCCGACUCAAAUGAACACAGUCGUAUGACAAAGCAGCAUGUUUGGGGGUGCUGCAUUCUGAUCCACCGUGUAGUCACACACACACACACACACACACACACACACACGCACGCGCGCACACGCACACGCACACACACACAGGGUGUUAUUGCUGUCAUGGAUAUAACGUCUACUUUGAGCCAACCAGGCUGAUAUUUUCUGCUUAUAGAGUGCAGAAUUAGGGAAGUUCUCUCAAGGAAAACAGAGAAGUUGCAAUCUACACAAACUCUAUUAUCUCAAGGCUUUAUUCUUCCUGGGUUACUUUCUCAUCACUAGAGCCCAUUUUCCACGGCCACCCUUUCCCAGAGAAUCUGGUGAGAAAUGAAAGCCCAUGCUGGAACUAGUAAACACACUCUCCCUUGGGGAUGCACAUGAACUGGACCGAGGCUCCUUCUAGAGGACCGCAUGGCUAUCUAGAAGGGGUCCCAGCUGGACCACUGAGAAGGGGUGUGCAUAGGACACCCAAUUUUCAGGGCUCUGUGUCUUAUUCACUGUCAGCCUAUAUAAACCUUUGAAAACGGGGAAGUCCAUUGUUGAGUGUUUUUUUAACCUUGAAAACCAUCAACAGCAUCAGAUUGGUCCAUCUCUAACACAGGGUGGGGUUCCAUCCUUUUCAAGCAUCCUCUCAUCUUCAGAGAGUCCCGGUCAAACAGUGUGUUGCUCUGUGUAGAUGCACAGGAUAGACAUGCCCUAACAACUAGGGCCUUGAUUCUAGAACACAGGUGAGUAGCAUCUCUACCAGGCUCUAGCUUCAAACGGAGUGUUUAUAUGCUGCGGGAGCAACAUUGCCACCAACGGCAGAUUUGUGUGUUCUCAGGGGUAGGAGUUGGUGGUCAUGCUUCUAAAUGGCCUAGUCAAUGUGGCACUGUGGAACACUAGGUUACCAGGUUAAGUAAAAAGACAGAGGCAAGAGGCUCAACAAUUAAAUUUGACUUUCAGGUAGAUAAUAAAGACAACUUCAGUUUGUAUUCUUACCGUAUGCUUAUGAGGAUUUUGCUUGCAUGUGCGUCUGUGCACUCCAGGUAAAUAGUGAGCACUGAAGGAGAGGGGAAAAGGAUAUCAAAUCAUCUGAAACUGGAGCUACAGGUGGUUGUAAGCUGCCAUGUGGAUGCUGGGAGCAGAACUUGAACCCUCUGCAAGAGCAGCAAGUAUUCUUAACUGCUGAGCCAUUUGUACAGCCCCGAUAAUUUUUCUAUUAAGUGAUGUUUCAUGUAAUGAUUGUUGGGAAAGCAAAGCAUGAAAGUUGUUUUCCUGAGACCGCUCUGAAACUCACAUUUAACUGGGAGUACUGGAAAACCAAGCAGGUAACUACUGAAUCUCUGUUCUGUACUGACAAACUGGACGUACUGGUAAAUCAAGCAGGCAACUUCUGGGUCUACAUUCUGUUCUGACAAACUCGGCACAGUUCUGGCCCUGGAAGGCCACAUACGAGGCCACUCCUUUCAUGAGGAUGCUCAUGAAUCCAUCUCUGGGAGGAUGGAGACACACCCAGUCAGGGGCCACAUUCACAAGUCACCUUGAGAGUAACCAGCCGAUGAUGCUCAUAAAGUCUUCCUUCUGAGAACACCUAGGAAAACAAUAUUUAGCUUUAUCAGCUUCCUGCAGAGUGUGCUUUCUAAUUAUCCAUUAACUGUGCCACAUCCUGUUGAAGUUUACACUGCUUCUUCUGCCUUCCUUUUUAGUGGGAAAAAACUGAAGAACCUGAUUCUCAGGCUGCCCAGUGAGACCAUCCAGGAGUGGGAUAAAGUGCCAGGCCAGGCCUCAGUACCCUGAAUAAUCAAAGAACUGCUGGAGGUGUCACCAGCCCCCAACUCGAACUGUACUACAGAGCUAUAGUAAUAAAAACAGCAUGGUAUUGGCACAAAAACAGACACAUUGGUAAAUAAAAUAUAAUUGAAGACUCAGACAUAAA
This is a long non-coding RNA of Arvicola amphibius (Eurasian water vole), 2233 nucleotides long. RefSeq lists it as uncharacterized. NCBI's taxonomy places the organism in Eukaryota, Metazoa, Chordata, Mammalia, Rodentia, Cricetidae. The transcript is spliced from 2 exons. The record is from RefSeq and is a predicted model, not a curated record.